This 1934-nucleotide unclassified non-coding RNA is filed under the name Hevea brasiliensis (rubber tree). Lineage: Eukaryota; Viridiplantae; Streptophyta; Magnoliopsida; Malpighiales; Euphorbiaceae. The record is from RNAcentral.
CCGAGUCAUCUCCACACACCAGAGUCAAACUGAUGACUAGCUUAACAGGGAGGCAGGUAAUUGAAUCGCAUUGCCCCUCUGCAGCAUAGCCUCUGCACAGUAUCUGAUCAGCCUAGAGCCUGCAGUUGUCCAGGGUCUCUGCUGCACUUCUCUAACAGACUUUAAAGAAUUGGAGCUUUCUAAUGAAGGAUACUGCAGAUGGUAGAUAAUAAAGCUGGCAGCCUGCACGGUUAUCUUAAAAUAGUGAGGAGUAGUACUUUUAGAAGUGGUUCAACUGGCCCUUGUUGAUAGGUUCAUGAGUCACAAACAAAUUCAAUCCUAGCAUCAUUAGUAGUUACACAACCUCUCAACUGUCAGCCAAAAGGUGUCAUCUGCUCAUUCUUCGACCCGUCAACUUGACUUUGCCCUAGAACAGAUAUUUCAGAAUGUGUCUGAUUUGCAGUCAAAUUUUCCUCUGGCACUUCACCGUGUACUACAUUUGAAUUGGGAGGGAGAACCAACCUAUUGCUGUUACUCACUACUUUAGCCCGCCUUAUCAAUUUCUGCUUCAAAGUGCCUGCUUUUAGCUUUGAUGGCCCCUUCAAAGAGCCCACUUUAAGAGCCAAAGAAGUUGGCAUGGCUUUGCGACUGCCCCUCUCAGCUUUAAUAGCAGCUAUAAGAGAAUCAGCUGCAGGCCCCAGACCCUUUCUUCCCACGAGCUUCACUCCUAGCUUCUCACAGAGAUAAUUCAACCUUAUUUCAUCACCCCCUCUCACCUCUCGUAGCUCAAAAGCUUGUUGUUUUGAUAACAAUGUGAAAACAUGAAGCUGCUGCUGCUGAUUAAAAUGUGACUGAAGCUGCUGAAAAAGUAAUUUAUUGGAAUGUUGUUGGCCUGGCCCACAACUUUCCUGACUUUUCCUUCGAGGCUCAUUAAAUGUCACCCUCAGAAUAGCAGUAGACUUUGGGUCAGCAUUCUUUCGACUAAAAAUGAUAGAAAAGCUCCCAAAUUCUAAAUCAGGCUCCCUAAAUAAAUCAACAAGAAGGGAAGCACAGUUAUGAGCAUUCUUUGAAGGGCUCCGACCAACCUUCAUCCUCAAGGUUCGAGCACUAACAUAGUGAGCUAUAUUUGCAGCUUCCCUCAAACCACUGAGAAAAGCUCCGUGCAUAGUUGCAGGAUACCGCCUAGUGGUGGCCUCCCCUGCAAAGAAGAGUCUUCCAUCCCCAACACUUUCUGCUAAUAUAUCAUAGUCAUCUCCAGAUGCCCCAACAGCAACGUUAGAGUAAGAACCAAGGGUAAAAGGAUCACUACCCCAUCUUGUGCAGACAGUUUGGAUAGGCUCUGGAACAGUGAUUCCCUUUGGUUCAUAUAUACCCUUAAGAAUCUGAAGAACCUGUGUCACUGCAUCUGUGGGGGGCAUACUCUCAAACUUAUGUGCAGCUUCACCUGCUACCAGAGCAAUCAAUAGUGGAUCACCAGAAACUGUUGUAUAGCUAUAAAACAAAAAGAACUCCCCUCGAGUGCUUGAGUCAUCAGUCAAAUGCCCAAAUGUGUCAAGAUCAGUUUCCCAGAACACAUAAGGAAAAAGCAUUGCAACCUUAUUCAACAGCCCAUACCCCAACCUCUUUAUCCCAUCAAGCUUCCUCUGCGGCAAUUCAGGAAUAAACUUUAUGGACCCACUCUUCAAUACCCCGAGUGGAACUGUACACAAUGCCAUAUCUCCUUCAAAAACCUGACUUCCAGAAAUAACCUGCACCCCAUCACUCCCAUACCUAAUAGUAUGCACGGUCUUCUCAUACAAAAUUGGCACAUUCUCUGCUAAAGCCUGAACCAACCUCCCAUUCCCUCCCGGCAUAAAACAAUGAUCUCCUCCCAUAUCAUAGGGAUCAUCCUGGUCCCAAAACGCCAGUGAAAGCUUUGACAACAAACCAGCGUUGGCAUAUUCCAAAUUUGCACA